UAAGGGAAUUUUUCCGCAAUGGGCGAAAGCCUGACGGAGCAACGCCGCGUGAGUGAUGAAGUUNUUCGGAUCGUAAAACUCUGUUAUUAGGGAAGAACAAACCGUGUAAGUAACUGUGCACGUCUUGACGGUACCUAAUCAGAAAGCCACGGCUAACUACGUGCCAGCAGCCGCGGUAAUACGUAGGUGGCAAGCGUUAUCCGGAAUUAUUGGGCGUAAAGCGCGCGUAGGCGGUUUUUUAAGUCUGAUGUGAAAGCCCACGGCUCAACCGUGGGGGGUCAUUGGAAACUGGAAAACUUGAGUGCAGAAGAGGAAAGUGGAAUUCCAUGUGUAGCGGUGAAAUGCGCAGAGAUAUGGGUGGAACACCAGUGGCGAAGGCGACUUUCUGGUCUGUAACUGACGCUGAUGUGCGAAAGCGUGGGGAUCAAACAGGAUUAGAUACCCUGGUAGUCCACGCCGUAAACGAUGAGUGCUAAGUGUUAGGGGGUUUCCGCCCCUUAGUGCUGCAGCUAACGCAUUAAGCACUCCGCCUGGGGAGUACGACCGCAAGGUUGAAACUCAAAGGAAUUGACGGGAAUC
Molecule: ribosomal RNA, 579 nt
Filed under: uncultured bacterium
Lineage: Bacteria
Description: bacterial SSU rRNA
Rfam family: Bacterial small subunit ribosomal RNA
Source: RNAcentral